RNAcentral lists this transfer RNA (77 nucleotides) under Bacillota bacterium. Its description in RNAcentral is "tRNA-Arg". It matches the Rfam family "tRNA". From Rfam's summary of the family: Transfer RNA (tRNA) molecules are approximately 80 nucleotides in length. Their secondary structure includes four short double-helical elements and three loops (D, anti-codon, and T loops). The record is from RNAcentral. Lineage: Bacteria; Bacillati; Bacillota. RNAcentral also lists the same sequence under 1 other name.
GCCCCAGUAGCUCAGUUGUAUAGAGCGUCCGCCUCCUAAGCGGAAGGUCGGAGGUUAGAGUCCUCUCUGGGGUGCCA